AUGUGACGAGAUGGGAGAGCUUCUGAUGUCUCUCCUUAGGUGUCUCAGUUUAAGGAGUGGACUUUCCUUCUCUGAGCAGGGAAUGCCUGAGACAUAAAUGUCUAAUUACUCAACAUUCGGAAGCCUGUGUCAACAACUGAUCACCAAGGAUACCACACAGAAAGCCAUGAAAACACACCUCAAAGACUCCUGGAACUCGGCCUGACCCCGGCCAUGGAUCUCUGCAUCUUCUUCCAUCAGUCACCGGAUGAGGGUUCUAUGAUGACAGUUAAGUUAUUCAGCCAUCUGAUCUCCAGAGUAGGCCAGUUCAGGCAACCUCUCGAAUACUGCCAGUAGUCUAAGGCUUUUAGCAGCAGUUCAGCUGAGAUCCAUUCUGGAUGAGGACACAGAGGCUUCCAGUUUGAAGAAAGAGGAUCUGCUGAGAAGCUGACAAGGGCUGGCAGCUGACACGAAACUACUACUACAAUCUACAAGCCAAGAAGAGCAUUCUCAGAAGAAAUCAACCUUGCUUGAACUUGGACUCCAUUCUUAAGAUCUAUGUGAAAAUACAGUUCUGCUGUGUAAACCACCUGGUCUGUAGCAUACUGUUAAGGAGCUGGAGUAAGCCAACCCAAUGGGCUCUUUUAUGGCAGUCACAUAACCAAAGAAUUCCAAUGCAUAUAAAUCUAAACACUAGGUGUAAAAAGACAGUAGCAAUCUAAUAAAAUAUGAAUCUCACACUG
Peromyscus maniculatus bairdii (prairie deer mouse) is the source of this 722-nucleotide non-coding RNA. Lineage: Eukaryota; Metazoa; Chordata; Mammalia; Rodentia; Cricetidae. The record is from RefSeq and is a predicted model, not a curated record.